This 483-nucleotide ribosomal RNA is filed under the name uncultured bacterium. RNAcentral describes it as "partial 16S ribosomal RNA". It matches the Rfam family "Bacterial small subunit ribosomal RNA", at positions 28 to 507 of the family's 1533-position model. The record is from RNAcentral.
GACGAACGCUGGCGGCGUGCUUAACACAUGCAAGUCGAACGCUGAAGCUCAGCUUUUGUUGGGUGGAUGAGUGGCGAACGGGUGAGUAACACGUGAGUAACCUGCCCCCUUCUUUGGGAUAACGCCCGGAAACGGGUGCUAAUACUGGAUAUUCACUGGUCUUCGCAUGGGGGUUGGUGGAAAGGGUUUUUCUGGUGGGGGAUGGGCUCGCGGCCUAUCAGCUUGUUGGUGGGGUGAUGGCCUACCAAGGCUUUGACGGGUAGCCGGCCUGAGAGGGUGACCGGUCACAUUGGGACUGAGAUACGGCCCAGACUCCUACGGGAGGCAGCAGUGGGGAAUAUUGCACAAUGGGCGCAAGCCUGAUGCAGCGACGCCGCGUGAGGGAUGGAGGCCUUCGGGUUGUGAACCUCUUUCGCUCAUGGUCAGGCCGCAACAAUGGUUGUGGUGAGGGUAGUGGGUAAAGAAGCGCCGGCUAACUACGUG